AUCUCAACUCCUCCCAUUGAUCUGUUAACACAUUAAAUAAUCAUGUAUCACUAUUUUUAGUAAAAUGUUUAGCACAUAAAAUGAAGAAUAUACCACCAAACAGAAUAAAUAUUAAGCUAACAGGUCUAAAGUAAUGGAAAGAAAAACAUUUUCUGUAGUCUUAGGUAACAUUUUGAGUUCCACUUUACUUUCAUCCUUUAAAGAAAAAAAAAGAAUGUUAACCCAUUCUUAUUUUAUACUUGGAGAAAAAGACCAAAUUCUGAAAGAGAAUCCACACAUGUCAACAACUCUUCUAGCCCCUCCCAUUUCUUUUGAAGCCCCUCCCACCUCUACCUCAUCUCAGUGACUCAU
RNAcentral lists this long non-coding RNA (351 nucleotides) under Bos taurus (domestic cattle). RNAcentral's name for it is "long non-coding RNA NONBTAT006266". Lineage: Eukaryota; Metazoa; Chordata; Mammalia; Artiodactyla; Bovidae. The record is from RNAcentral.